Long non-coding RNA from Zingiber officinale, 1016 nucleotides. RefSeq lists it as uncharacterized. The transcript has 4 exons. NCBI's taxonomy places the organism in Eukaryota, Viridiplantae, Streptophyta, Magnoliopsida, Zingiberales, Zingiberaceae. The record is from RefSeq and is a predicted model, not a curated record.
UUCCCGAAUACCUCCCAAACCCCUCUCACGCGUCUUCGGUCUCCUCCCGAACCCCUCUCACGCGAAGGCAACAAAAACCUCCAUCUCCGCUGAAACCCCUCCGCAAAAUCUUUCCCUGUGAAAACCUCCCGGUGAAAACCUCCAUCUCCGUCCAAGACCUUGACUCCAUGCAAAACCUCUAUCCGCGCCGCCCGUAACCAAGCCUCCUCCACCGAGGUCAUGAACUACCUCACCACGACCAGAUGUCACCGAGAUCUUCCCCUGCCACGACCAGGUCAUGAACUACCUCGAAUCUUAUGCACGCCACUUUGACCUACUCUGCUGUAUCAAGUUCCACUCUAGUGUGGUAUUGAUAGACCUUGUCAGGACAUCCGAAGAGGAGAUCGCCACGUAGGACCUCUGGACUGGCGUCGCUAAGGGAGAAUGGCACCUCACCGAGCAGCUAUAAGGGUGAUCCCUCCACCGAGAUCUAUUGGGUGGAUUUCUUGAUCCUGUGCAACGGAAGGUUCAGCAAUGCCCCAAAUUUCCCCAAUUUUGCGCGACGGGGUGCAGCUUAGGUGUUCGAUGGAAUGACUAUGCACUCGAUAGAGUACUCUAACAUGGACAACAUCGGUGACCGCUCUCAUGCGAGGAAAGCGAGUCACCGUCGUUGGCUCAGGGAAGACAACGUUUGAGAGAAUCAUGUACAUGAGAGAUCGUUGCACCAAAUUUGAGGUGAAGGUUUGUAUGAAGGACUUGAUUAUCUCUCUAGCAACAUCACUAAUAAGAUGAAUGUGAAAAGAAAUUGAAAGCGGAGUUUUUAUUUUACCAAGAAGGGCACUCAUAUACUUUUGAGAAGAAAAGUUCCAAUCCAAGAAGCAAGAUAUAUUGGAACUAAAAUGUAUGUUUAGUAUGUAGGGUUUUUGCUUUUAUUAGACUUAACAUGGAUCCAAAUUUUGUGGAUUAUGCCUACAUAUUUUUUGUUUAAAUUGUAUGAUACAUUUGUGGUUCAAUAAUAAGAAAUUUGAUUAGUUGUA